This 495-nucleotide ribosomal RNA is filed under the name uncultured bacterium. Its description in RNAcentral is "partial 16S ribosomal RNA". It matches the Rfam family "Bacterial small subunit ribosomal RNA", at positions 28 to 507 of the family's 1533-position model. The record is from RNAcentral.
GAUGAACGCUGGCGGCGUGCCUAAUACAUGCAAGUAGAACGCUGAAGGAGGAGCUUGCUCUUCUGGAUGAGUUGCGAACGGGUGAGUAACGCGUAGGUAACCUGCCUGGUAGCGGGGGAUAACUAUUGGAAACGAUAGCUAAUACCGCAUGACAACAGUUAUUGCAUGAUAACUGUUUAAAAGGGGCAACUGCUCCACUACCAGAUGGACCUGCGUUGUAUUAGCUAGUUGGUGAGGUAACGGCUCACCAAGGCGACGAUACAUAGCCGACCUGAGAGGGGGCUCGGCCACACUGGGACUGAGACACGGCCCAGACUCCUACGGGAGGCAGCAGUAGGGAAUCUUCGGCAAUGGACGGAAGUCUGACCGAGCAACGCCGCGUGAGUGAAGAAGGUUUUCGGAUCGUAAAGCUCUGUUGUAAGAGAAGAACGAGUGUGAGAGUGGAAAGUUCACACUGUGACGGUAUCUUACCAGAAAGGGACGGCUAACUACGUG